UCGCUACGAGGGAGUGGACCAUUUACUGAAGGAGUGUUGUUGGUUUUACCGAUAUCACUUCGGAAAUUAGCCUAAAGUUGAUGGUCUCGACCACGUAA
This 98-nucleotide ribosomal RNA is filed under the name uncultured eukaryote. Its description in RNAcentral is "partial small subunit ribosomal RNA". The record is from RNAcentral.